This 500-nucleotide ribosomal RNA is filed under the name uncultured bacterium. RNAcentral describes it as "partial 16S ribosomal RNA". It matches the Rfam family "Bacterial small subunit ribosomal RNA", at positions 30 to 523 of the family's 1533-position model. The record is from RNAcentral.
AUUGAACGCUGGCGGCAUGCCUUACACAUGCAAGUCGAACGGCAGCACGGGAGCAAUCCUGGUGGCGAGUGGCGAACGGGUGAGUAAUAUAUCGGAACGUGCCCAGUCGUGGGGGAUAACGUAGCGAAAGCUACGCUAAUACCGCAUACGAUCUAUGGAUGAAAGCGGGGGAUCGCAAGACCUCGCGCGAUUGGAGCGGCCGAGAUCAGAUUAGGUGGUUGGUGAGGUAAAGGCUGACCAAGCCAACGAUCUGUAGCUGGUCUGAGAGGACGACCAGCCACACGGGGACUGAGACACGGACCAGAGUCCUACGGGAGGCAGCAGUGGGGAAUUUUGGACAAUGGGCGCAGGCUUGAUCCAGCAAUGCCGCGUGCAGGAUGAAGGCCUUCGGGUUGUAAACUGCUUUUGUACGGAACGAAACGGUGAGCUCUAAUACAGUUUGCUAAUGACGGUACCGUAAGAAUAAGCACCGGCUAACUACGUGCCAGCCGCCGCGGUAA